AUUGAACGCUGGCGGCAGGCCUAACCCAUGCAAGUCGAACGAGUGGCGGACGGGUGAGUAAUGUCUGGGAAACUGCCUGAUGGAGGGGGAUAACUACGGGAAACGGUAGCUAAUACCGCAUACCAUCAGAUGUGCCCAGAUGGGAUUAGCUGGUUGGUGGGGUAACUGCUCACCAAGGCGACGAUCCCUAGCUGGGCUGAGAGGAUGACCAGCCACACUGGAACUGAGGAGCGGUCCGGACUCCUACGGGGGGCAGCGGUGGGGAAUAUUGCACAAUGGGCGCAAGCCUGAUACAGCCAUGCCGCGUGUAUGAAGAAGGCCUUCGGGUUGUAAAGUACUUUCAGCGGGGAGGCGUUACCCGCCGAAGAAGCACCGGCUAACUCCGUGCCAGCAGCCGCGGUAAUUC
This 406-nucleotide ribosomal RNA is filed under the name uncultured bacterium. Its description in RNAcentral is "partial 16S ribosomal RNA". It matches the Rfam family "Bacterial small subunit ribosomal RNA", at positions 30 to 526 of the family's 1533-position model. The record is from RNAcentral.